This 442-nucleotide ribosomal RNA is filed under the name uncultured bacterium. RNAcentral describes it as "partial 16S ribosomal RNA". It matches the Rfam family "Bacterial small subunit ribosomal RNA", at positions 338 to 795 of the family's 1533-position model. The record is from RNAcentral.
CCUACGGGUGGCAGCAGUGGGGAAUAUUGGUCAAUGGGCGCAAGCCUGACCCAGCAACGCCGCGUGAAGGAAGAAGGCUUUCGGGUUGUAAACUUCUUUUGUCAGGGAAGAGUAGAAGACGGUACCUGACGAAUAAGCCACGGCUAACUACGUGCCAGCAGCCGCGUUCAUACGUAGGUGGCAAGCGUUGUCCGGAUUUACUGGGUGUAAAGGGAGUGUAGGCGGGUUGACAAGUCAGAUGUGAAAUCCUGCGGCUUAACCGCAGAACUGCAUUUGAAACUGUCGAUCUUGAGUACUGUGGAGGCAGAUGGAAUUCCUAGUGUAGCGGUGAAAUGCGUAGAUAUUAGGAGGAACACCAGUGGCGAAGGCGGUCUGCUGGACAGCAACUGACGGUGAGGCGCGAAAGCGUGGGGAGCAAACAGGAUUAGAUACCCCAGUAGUC